This is a long non-coding RNA of Paramacrobiotus metropolitanus, 337 nucleotides long. RefSeq lists it as uncharacterized. The record is from RefSeq and is a predicted model, not a curated record. Lineage: Eukaryota; Metazoa; Tardigrada; Eutardigrada; Parachela; Macrobiotidae. The transcript has 3 exons.
AAUAAAACUUCCGUACUUGUCGGAACACAUCUCAUGCAAAAUGCAAAAAAAAUCACUUUAGCUUUGGAUCGGGAGCACUGGCAGAUGACACCCAGAGGUAUCAUCGUGGAUUCCCAUGUAUGACAAAUCCCCAGUACAGUAUCAGCACUCCAUCAGUUUUUUCCCAUUCCUACCUGUAUAGAAAGUUUACAACAGCAUGGCGGGUUUACAAGCUGUGGCUUUCGGAAUGAGCGGCAAUGCAUUGUUCGGCAAUUUGAAGAGCCUCUUCUGGAAAUGUUCGGUUUCAUCGGUGUAUUCUCAGGGAUCGUUAGUAAACAAAUGCCGUGCCUCUGCACUA